UGAGUCGGUUGUGUAAUCGCGGGGGCGUAUGAAAAGACGCCAAUGAGGAAAGUCCGAGCAUCAUAGAGCAAGGGCGCCGGAGAAAUCCCGGUGAGGGUGACCUUAAGGAAAGUGCAACAGAAAUAAACCGCCUAUUUUUAGGUAAGGGUGGAAAGGCGCGGUAAGAGCGCACCGUACCCUUGGUAACAAGGGUAGCCAUGUAAACCCCGUCCGAUGCAAGAUUGACAAAGCAUAGCGCAUAAACUGCUCGUUUGCUGUGCUUUAAUAAAAUAUCGCUGGAGGCCAUUUGAGAAUUUGGUCGUAGAUAAAUGAUUACACACGACAGAACUCGGCUUAUAGACCGACUCGGCGG
This 352-nucleotide RNase P RNA is filed under the name Clostridia bacterium. RNAcentral's name for it is "RNase P RNA component class A". It matches the Rfam family "Bacterial RNase P class A". From Rfam's summary of the family: Ribonuclease P (RNase P) is a ubiquitous endoribonuclease, found in archaea, bacteria and eukarya as well as chloroplasts and mitochondria. Its best characterised activity is the generation of mature 5'-ends of tRNAs by cleaving the 5'-leader elements of precursor-tRNAs. Lineage: Bacteria; Bacillati; Bacillota; Clostridia. The record is from RNAcentral.